This is a long non-coding RNA of Phragmites australis (common reed), 1413 nucleotides long. RefSeq lists it as uncharacterized. Lineage: Eukaryota; Viridiplantae; Streptophyta; Magnoliopsida; Poales; Poaceae. The record is from RefSeq and is a predicted model, not a curated record. The transcript has 4 exons.
CGCAACCUGCUAUUCAAGAAGUUCGUCAACCGUUUGCUGAUGCUCCGUAACCCCGUUGCCUUGGACGAGUUCCGGCUCUGCCACAACAUCGGUCCAGAGCAAGAAGAUGACACCGCAGAAGUUAACCUGUGGGUCGGCCAUGCUUUGCUCUGCAACGCUCGGUGUGUCGAGGUUUCCGUGUGGAGCUAUAUUUUGGAGCUCGAUCCUGCGGUGUUUACUUCACAACACUAGACAAAUCUGAGGCUUUUCGGUUGUGAUUUGCCCCGUGGCUUCUUUAGGCACCUCAAAACGGGCUGUGAAGUAUUGGAACGUCUGAUCUUACAAAACUGCACCAUUGAUGACAUUGAGAUUUCCUCCCAAACACUGAAGGUUUUGUCCAUUGAGGUUGAUUGUUUCUUCAUACCUUAUGACCGGGCUUCUAUUUCCAUUCCAAGCCUCAUUCAUCUUGACUUCUUUGGUUGCACUAAGAGUAUAAUACCUUUACUAGAGAACAUGGAACCACUGUUGUCAGCAUCUGUUGCAGUUGGUAGUUUUGUUACCGAUGAUACUCAGGCUGAUGAUAUUCUGGUUAAUGACGUCCGUCGAUUUCUCCGGGACCUCUCUGGUGUUACAGAAUUGGAUUUCUAUUUUGAAGAGAUAGUGUGUGUUCUGAAGCUAUAGUCCUGCCUGAAAGUUUCUCACUAAUUACUCAAUAGUAUCUGAGCUCCCUCCUAUUUCUUUUUGGUGAAUAUGGAAAAGAAUUUGCAAUGGUUCCCAAAAUUCAACAAUCUUAAAUUCCUGACUCUUGGUCAAUGGUGUCUGGAUGCAGACUUCUAUGCAUUGAUAGUCUUCCUUCAGAACUCACCUAAUCUGGUGAAGCUAACUCAGAAUCUCAAACAGUAUAUAACUGGAAGACUCAUGGGCGAGCUUGGAAAUAGAUCGUUUACAUGUGAGCACCUUAAGAUUGUUGAAAUCAUUUGCUUGAAGCGUAAUCCCGUGGUCAACAGCCUGGAGGAGUUUUUGCUUGGGAGCGGCAUAACCUCUGGUCAGAUUCACAUCAAGCACUAGAAGUAGCUCCGGUCAUGUUUGUAUCAACCACUGGAACCAGUCAUUCUGGAUCGUUCGUUUAUCAGUGGACGCAGGAACAUCUACUUGUUUCGUUCGUGUCAGAAACAUCAGUUUUACUUUAUCUGUGUUUCAGUUCGGAUGGAUGCAUCUUUGAAGUUUCACUUGCUACCGUGUAAAUGUUUACAUUUUAUUACCUCAUCGGCCUUUACUUACGAUGGAUGCAUCUUCGGAGCAAAUGGAUUACUUUUCUGCUGUGAAGAUGUAGAAGAGAGGGGGCUAUGGCACGCAUAAGCUAGCUCAUAUAUGCUUGUAUAGAUUAAUUUGAUGUAUCAGAUCAUGCAAUGCGAUCAACAACAAUGUUAUGGC